CUUUCCCAGCUCAUCCAAAAAUUCCACAACUCUAGUGUUCCUGUCAAUUGUAUUGUUUAUGAUUCUUUUCUGCCAUGGGCUCUUGAUGUUGCCAUCCAACAUGGCAUCUAUGGGGCUCCAUUUUUUACUAAUUCAGCCGCAGUGUGUAGCAUUUUCUGUCGAAUACAUCAUGGCCUACUUACCCUUCCCCUGGAGUUGGAGGAUAAUAAACCUUUGGAAUUACCUG
Molecule: unclassified non-coding RNA, 226 nt
Filed under: Hevea brasiliensis (rubber tree)
Lineage: Eukaryota; Viridiplantae; Streptophyta; Magnoliopsida; Malpighiales; Euphorbiaceae
Source: RNAcentral